CAAACAAGCCGCAUUUGGUUCGCAGGUCCGUCCCCUCUCCUGCUCUCUAGUCUCCUCGCCCUCUGUUCCUCCAACCACCCUCCAAACCCUACCCUUCUCGAAGCUUCCAGAGCCCCUGGUGCUCGAGCCCUCCAUGGCCCCCUCCGCCUCCGCUCUCUCCUGCUCCACCCCCGACCCCUCGCGCUCCGGGUGGUCCUCUCUGCGGCCGCAGCUGGACCUCCAAUCCGCGCUCCUGUCCGAGGACGCCGCCGGCGACGCUCGGGCCGUCGCGGAGCUCCUCAAUGCCGCGCUGGAGGGGGACCUCCCCCGCGCGAAGAAGCUGACGAAGGAGCUGAGGAAGGCAGGGAAGGGCGUCGCCGAGGCUGUGGCGGACGCCGUCGGCAUGCCCGAGAGCAAGCGUCGCGGGCCGCUCCACCUGGCCGCGGCGACCGGGAAGGUGGAGAUGUGCAAGUUCCUCAUCAGGACUUGCGAGGUCGACGUCAACGCGACCGAUGUUGAUGGUGCGACUCCUCUAAUUUUUGCAAUACAAGGUAUGGGAUCUACAGCUGUGGUGAAGCUUCUUCUCAGUUAUGAAGCUGAUCCGAACAAAGCAGACAGCGGUGGGAUUGCUCCUCUCCAUAUUGCAGCAGAACGAGAUUCCUAUGAAGUAGCAGAGCUUUUAUUGUCCAAAGGAGCUAAGGUUGACCCCAUAUGUGAAAGUGGCGAAGCACCACUACAUGUUGCUGCUGCGUAUGGAAAUGCAAGAGUGUUGAAACUGUUGUUGGAGCAUAAUGCCGAUGAGAAAGUGCAAAGUGUGCCCAGAGAGCAACCUAUGACAGCACCUCAACUACAUGAUCCUCCACGUUCGGGUCAUCCAUCAAACAUUUCUUCAGGGGGUAUGGGCAUAGCAUUGGAUGACGACAUUGGCAUUCCUGAAUACUCUGAAUAUGACGAUAGUGAAGUGGCCAACUUAUUUGUGAAGGUGAACUCUAAGGAGUUGAAAGCAAUUUUGUCAAAAUACAAAAUAGAUGCAACAGGAAAUAAGGAAGAAGUCUGGAGAAGGGCAAAUAAGGAGCUUAAGCUAGAAGAGCUGAAGCAAAGGGAACUCAGGUUGUUGUGCGCUGCAAAUGAUAUUCACCAAAACAAGGAUACAAAUGCGGAAAUGAUUUCAAAACUGAAGAAUCAUAAGAAAAGUCUAUUGCUUGCGAUGCGUAGGCAAAAGUUUAUGAUAGAACUCCGGGAACACAACAAACAAUUGCGAAUUUCUUUGAAUAACGAAUUAGAUACAAAUCUUUCAGAAUUGGAUGCAUUCAGCAUGCUUGUGGAAUUAAAGGAGUAUUUUUUGAAAGAACAUGCUUCGCUAGAGCUCUCCUACCAGUUCGAGGAAAAAGAAUGUGCUUCGCUAGAGAAGCAACUAAAGAUAGAGGAAACUGAAAAAAGGGCAUAUUUAAGGAAGGAAAGUUUGCCUACAAAGUGCAAGGAAAAAGCUGAGUAUGAGGAGAAGCUACUACUGGAAGAUAGACAGAAACGUCUUAAACUUGUUCUAGCAGAAAAGAAGGUUCAGGAGGAAUUAUCCAAAAAGAUAGAAGACGAAAUAGCUGUUCUAACAGAAAAGAAGGUCAGGACGAAUUGUCCAAAAAGAUAGACGACGAAAUAGCUGAAAUACAUUUAAAGAACGUCAGAUGCACAGCAAAAAGGUUAAGAACUCUGGAGUACAUCAAGCGAAUGGCUUUAUGAGUCGAGAUAAGGGUCGGCAUGGUCAUAACUCUAUUCAAUCAUUUAAAUAAAGGUAUAUCUGUCAGUUAAAGCCUCGCAAGAGAAGAGCCAAGCUCUGGCACUUGGACCUCCUUUGCUGGCAUCAGAACCUAGGCAACAAGCAGCUGAAGAAGAUUCAUCAGAAGAGCUUGAGGACAAGACUGAAUUAGAGUACUUAAUCCUGU
Molecule: RNA transcript, 1919 nt
Organism: Phragmites australis (common reed)
Lineage: Eukaryota; Viridiplantae; Streptophyta; Magnoliopsida; Poales; Poaceae
Exons: 12
Source: RefSeq, a predicted model, not a curated record